AGCCACAGCCAUAUCACCCUGCAGCCCAAGACCGGUUACUCACUGAAGCUAAGCAGGGCUGAGCCUGGUCAGUACCUGGAUGCGAGACCCUAUGGGAAAACUAGAUUGCUGUUGGAA
This 117-nucleotide ribosomal RNA is filed under the name Danio rerio (zebrafish). Lineage: Eukaryota; Metazoa; Chordata; Actinopteri; Cypriniformes; Danionidae. The record is from RNAcentral.